This 254-nucleotide ribosomal RNA is filed under the name Mammaliicoccus sciuri. RNAcentral's name for it is "partial 16S ribosomal RNA". It matches the Rfam family "Bacterial small subunit ribosomal RNA", at positions 202 to 451 of the family's 1533-position model. The record is from RNAcentral. Lineage: Bacteria; Bacillati; Bacillota; Bacilli; Caryophanales; Staphylococcaceae.
AAAGCCGGUUUCGGCUGUCACUUAUAGAUGGACCCGCGCCGUAUUAGCUAGUUGGUAAGGUAACGGCUUACCAAGGCGACGAUACGUAGCCGACCUGAGAGGGUGAUCGGCCACACUGGAACUGAGACACGGUCCAGACUCCUACGGGAGGCAGCAGUAGGGAAUCUUCCGCAAUGGGCGAAAGCCUGACGGAGCAACGCCGCGUGAGUGAAGAAGGUUUUCGGAUCGUAAAACUCUGUUGUUAGGGAAGAACA